GCAGCCCUGGAGGAUGGUGAAUGAUAGAUACCUCGGAACCAUCAAAAUACUCCACAUUGUUACUGACAGCUCUGACAAACAGACUGCUAUCAGCUGAGUCCCAAAGGAUAGGUUAGCAGACCAACUGAUCCUCUACUGUGAACUUAUUUAUCAUCAUCAUUGUUUUCAAGAUCACGAAAUGGACAGUUCCCAAGGUAUCAGACUACUGAAGCAAAGAAGUACUUGAAAUGCUUGAGAGACUCUCAGAAAUUUGAGUGAUGUAUGGGGAGUGAAGGAGAGAUACUGUCUCAAUUGGCCUAUGCUAAGAUCUUUGGCAGAGUCAAAAAUUCCAUUGUUCUUGCGAAGAACAGAUCUGCCUCAGAUUUCAUGGAGUGCAGAAGAACAGAGAACCCUGAUGUGAUGUAAAUUGACCCAACAGCUGCUGAAUGUUGAAUUCUAACAAUACUUUAAAGAGCUGAAAUUGACUGAAUUCUUCUGGGAUGUUAAUAUUAAAACUGUAUGUAGGAUAAGCUAUGACAGGACUUGGCCACUGAAAAAUUAUAAGGAAUUUGAGAUAAUUUAGAAUUACAGAAUAAACUGUAGUUUUUAGAGGGGUGCA
Molecule: long non-coding RNA, 598 nt
Filed under: Coturnix japonica (Japanese quail)
Lineage: Eukaryota; Metazoa; Chordata; Aves; Galliformes; Phasianidae
Description: lncRNA (ENSCJPG00005000676.1)
Source: RNAcentral